This 370-nucleotide ribosomal RNA is filed under the name uncultured eukaryote. RNAcentral describes it as "partial 18S ribosomal RNA". It matches the Rfam family "Eukaryotic small subunit ribosomal RNA", at positions 592 to 976 of the family's 1831-position model. The record is from RNAcentral.
CAAUAGCGUAUAUUAAAGUUGUUGCAGUUAAAAAGCUCGUAGUUGGAUUUCUGGUCGGAAGCUCCUGUCCUCUGAUGAGCGUACAAGUGCGUCCUACCAUCCUUCUGUUAACCUUUAAGGCUUUCGCGGCUUUCUAGGGGCUCAGAUAUUUUACCUUGAGAAAAUUAGAGUGUUUCAGGCAGGCUAGCGCCGGAAUACAUUAGCAUGGAAUAAUGGAAUAGGACUUUUGCCUCUUCUGUUGGUCAUGAGGCUCGAGUAAUGAUUAAUAGGGAUAGUUGGGGGCAUUAGUACUUAACUGUCAGAGGUGAAAUUCUUGGAUUUGUUAAAGACUAACUUAUGCGAAAGCAUUUGCCAAGGAUGUUUUCAUUAA